RNAcentral lists this ribosomal RNA (253 nucleotides) under uncultured bacterium. RNAcentral's name for it is "partial 16S ribosomal RNA". It matches the Rfam family "Bacterial small subunit ribosomal RNA", at positions 524 to 776 of the family's 1533-position model. The record is from RNAcentral.
UACGGAGGGUCCAAGCGUUAUCCGGAUUUAUUGGGUUUAAAGGGUCCGCAGGCGGGAAAAUAAGUCAGUGGUGAAAUCCUAUCGCUUAACGAUAGAACUGCCAUUGAUACUGUUUUUCUUGAGUACAAUUGAAGUGGGCGGAAUGUGUCAUGUAGCGGUGAAAUGCAUAGAUAUGACACAGAACACCGAUUGCGAAGGCAGCUCACUAAAUUAUUACUGACGCUCAGGGACGAAAGCGUGGGGAGCAAACAGG